Molecule: ribosomal RNA, 954 nt
Filed under: Sarcophaga insularis
Lineage: Eukaryota; Metazoa; Arthropoda; Insecta; Diptera; Sarcophagidae
Description: eukaryotic LSU rRNA
Rfam family: Eukaryotic large subunit ribosomal RNA
Source: RNAcentral
CUUUGUCUUUAUGGCAAAUGUGAGAUGCAGUGUAUGGAAUGUCAAAUUUCUAGUAUGAGAAAUUAACGAUUUAAGUCCUUCUUAAAUGAGGCCAUUUACCCAUAGAGGGUGCCAGGCCCGUAUAACGUUAAUGAUUACUAGAUGGCAUUUCCAAAGAGUCGUGUUGCUUGAUAGUGCAGCACUAAGUGGGUGGUAAACUCCAUCUAAAACUAAAUAUAACCAUGAGACCGAUAGUAAACAAGUACCGUGAGGGAAAGUUGAAAAGAACUCUGAAUAGAGAGUUAAAUAGUACGUGAAACUGCUUAGAGGUUAAGCCCGAUGAACCUGAAUAUCCAUUAUAGAAAAUUCAUCAUUAUGAUUUUAAUAUUAAUAAUAUUAUAAUAAUGGUGUGCAUUUUUUCUAUAACGGACAUUGUAAUCUAUUAACAUAAAUAUAUUUAUCAUAAGAUCAAUGAUGCGUAAGUUUAUUCAAAUUAUUUUGCUUGCAAUUUAACAUAGAAUAAAUGCUCUUGAUUUGAUAAAGUGUUGAUAGAUUUAUUGUAUAUAGUGCUUAAAUAUUUAUAUUUUAUAAUAGCAUAUUAAUCAUUGAUUUUUAUGUUUAUUAUAUGCACUUAUAUGAUUAACAAUGCGAAAGAUUCAGGAUACCUUCGGGACCCGUCUUGAAACACGGACCAAGGAGUCUAACAUAUUUGCAAGUUAUUGGGUAUCAAAACCUAAUAGCGAAAUUAACAUAACUUUAAUGGGAUUAGUUUUUAGAUUAUUUAUAGUCUAUUAAUUCAAUCCCGGGGCGUUCUAUACAGUUAUGUAUAAUAAUAUUUAUAUUAUUUAUACCUCUAACUAGAGCGUACCUUGAGCAUAUAUGCUGUGACCCGAAAGAUGGUGAACUAUACUUGAUCAGGUUGAAGUCAGGGGAAACCCUGAUGGAAGACCGAAACAGUUCUGACGUGCAAAUCGA